Molecule: long non-coding RNA, 262 nt
Organism: Exaiptasia diaphana
Lineage: Eukaryota; Metazoa; Cnidaria; Anthozoa; Actiniaria; Aiptasiidae
Exons: 2
Source: RefSeq, a predicted model, not a curated record
UCAUCAGGCGGUAAUGGAGGCUCAUCAGGCGGUAAUGGAGGCUCAUCAGGCGGAAAUGAAAAUUGCAAAGACUCAAGCUCCAAUUGUUCAUUCUUCAAAUCCAUGUGCKACACGCAUCUUUCUAUUCGUAAAGUCUGCCACAAAACGUGUGGCGUUUGCUAAAUAUCUUGUAAUUUCUACCAUUCGAUAUCACAAACAACUCUUUAAUUGUAUUUUCGUGGUUUAAKUUUCUUCAGUAAAUUCAAAUCKCUCACACMUUUUA